Molecule: ribosomal RNA, 208 nt
Filed under: uncultured bacterium
Lineage: Bacteria
Description: partial 16S ribosomal RNA
Rfam family: Bacterial small subunit ribosomal RNA
Source: RNAcentral
CUCGUAGGCGGUUUGUCGCGUCUGCUGUGAAAACUGGGGGCUCAACCCCCCAGCCUGCAGUGGGUACGGGCAGACUAGAGUGCGGUAGGGGAGAUUGGAAUUCCUGGUGUAGCGGUGGAAUGCGCAGAUAUCAGGAGGAACACCGAUGGCGAAGGCAGAUCUCUGGGCCGUAACUAACGCUGAGGAGCGAAAGCAUGGGGAGCGAACA